ACGCGUCGUAACUGGAACCACCUGUGGUAUAAAAAGGGGGCGCCAGCUUGUGAGCCUGUUUCGAAAGGCCCAACAAACAUCACGUCUUGUACUAGCAUCUACCGCAGGACACAGGUCAGCCAGCAUCGCAGCAACGUUUCAUUUUCCGUGACUUCCUAUUCUCCCCUAGUCCGCCGAUGCAUGCUUGCUAUACAUCGUGACUCUAUGAGACGCCGACUAACCUGAUGCGGCGAUGCCGAAACGCCGAUCAGUGCGGACGGCGGACUACAGACACAACUCCCUACACGUUAAGCAACACGCCAACACCCGUGUGCCUAUGACCAAUCGCUCAAAGCACGCUAGGGACGACAUCACAAAUGUUGAAGUAAUGAACUCUAUUUUUUUUUUCUUAUUUAUCUUGUGUAUGCGCUUUGCUUGUACAUGGUAGGGUCAUAAAUUUCUAAAAUUUAACUAUGUUACAAGAAAAGUUGAAUGGCCUAGCCACAAAUUGAGAAUGUUUUGGACAAUAUUGAUCUCGAUCGUUGCUUUUCUUGAAGAUUUUGCAUCAAGAAAUCUCUAAAAGCGAUUUUUUUACAAGGCAAUAAAGCAUUUUUAUUUGAGGUAAUCCAAGUUGAGUCAUGGCACACGGGUAAAAGGCUCUAGAAACAUUGUAGCGUAGCCUUGAAGACCAACUUGAGUGAAUCAGCACCUAGUACUAAUCUUCAGCUAGCUCUACGUAUGAGAAGUCACACCAAAGAGCCAAAGAAUAAUCUUCUAGACUAAUCACUACUAUCUAAUGGAGUAAGUAGAAUAGUCAUCAUUUCUCUUCUCUACAAGAAUUUGGCAUGAUUUUGGUAAAUUGACAAUCGAAUUGACUAGACAUAAUUUAUUGGUUAUGUAGUAAUGCAUGGUGCAUUUGAAAACUCUUGGGGAAGGGGAAGAUCCAUUUGAUGCUCUUCCAAUGCUUUAGUUAUGUAAUUUGGGACAGCUGAGGUAGGAACAAGAAGUAACAACAGCGCCUCAGAUAGAUUAAUUGGAACCCCAAAGGCAAGAUGUUGCAAAACACACACUCUUUUUUUUAAUUAGUUUGCCUUAAUUUGCUUCACCCAACACCAUUGGAAUCGAGGGCUCCAUUGGUGCAUUGCCAAAUAAAUAAGGCUGCAAUGAUUAUGUGUGAAAGGUCUGUAGAAUUUUAUUCAUUCAUCUGCUUUCCAAUCUUUAUCUUUUUCUUUGGAGUAAUUACUAUUAUUAUCAUCGUCAUCAUUGUUUUUGUAGUUAUUAUUGUUUAAUUGUUUUGAAGAGACUUAGUGCACUUAAUUUUCAAUUGCAUGUUCCAAUAAUACCUUGCUGGGAUGAGAACACAAGACAAUUUGAGAUAUAGCUUGAAGUCAGAUUCCUAUUUUUUUUUUUUAAAAAAAGAAGGCUUAUGCUCAGCUGCAUGGUAAUUGGAGAGCUUCGCCUUUGUUCUCUUGGCUUUGGUCCUCCAUUAAUCUGGGUAAACAUAAAUUUUUCUUCUGGUUACUACUCAGAGAUAGGCUGAACAACAGGAAUCAGCUGAGAGGAAGAACAAAACUGUGUGCUUUGUAACACUGACUGUGAAGACCAGCUUUCACCACUUCUUUGAAUGCCUUUGAGCUCUGCGUGCUGGAAGUCCCUAUCUAUAGACUGGAACCGGAAUCUGCAACCCUUGUGAUCUCGAUCUCAUAAUCACAACUAUUUGGAUUGGAAGACAAGAAAUGGUGUCAGUUUUGAUGGAGAACAUUAUGGGUGUGUUUGGUUGGCAGCCAGGCCUGGUCAUGGCUCCUUUGGGCCAGUUUUUUGGUGUUUGGUUACAUAAACUAGGUCUGAGGCCUGGCUAGGAUGGGCCAGCCGUACUGCUGGAGCUAGGCCAGCUUUGAACGGCCAAAUCGGUCG
Molecule: long non-coding RNA, 1893 nt
Filed under: Sorghum bicolor (sorghum)
Lineage: Eukaryota; Viridiplantae; Streptophyta; Magnoliopsida; Poales; Poaceae
Description: long non-coding RNA (SBIC_LNC001208)
Source: RNAcentral